RNAcentral lists this ribosomal RNA (480 nucleotides) under Trichocomaceae sp. RNAcentral describes it as "SSU rRNA". It matches the Rfam family "Eukaryotic small subunit ribosomal RNA", at positions 677 to 1160 of the family's 1831-position model. Lineage: Eukaryota; Fungi; Ascomycota; Eurotiomycetes; Eurotiales; Trichocomaceae. The record is from RNAcentral.
UACUGGUCCGGCUGGACCUUUCCUUCUGGGGAAUCUCAUGGCCUUCACUGGCUGUGGGGGGAACCAGGACUUUUACUGUGAAAAAAUUAGAGUGUUCAAAGCAGGCCUUUGCUCGAAUACAUUAGCAUGGAAUAAUAGAAUAGGACGUGCGGUUCUAUUUUGUUGGUUUCUAGGACCGCCGUAAUGAUUAAUAGGGAUAGUCGGGGGCGUCAGUAUUCAGCUGUCAGAGGUGAAAUUCUUGGAUUUGCUGAAGACUAACUACUGCGAAAGCAUUCGCCAAGGAUGUUUUCAUUAAUCAGGGAACGAAAGUUAGGGGAUCGAAGACGAUCAGAUACCGUCGUAGUCUUAACCAUAAACUAUGCCGACUAGGGAUCGGACGGUGUUUCUAUUAUGACCCGUUCGGCACCUUACGAGAAAUCAAAGUUUUUGGGUUCUGGGGGGAGUAUGGUCGCAAGGCUGAAACUUAAAGAAAUUGACGGA